RNAcentral lists this small RNA (92 nucleotides) under Arabidopsis thaliana (thale cress). RNAcentral's name for it is "ATSL165530". The record is from RNAcentral. Lineage: Eukaryota; Viridiplantae; Streptophyta; Magnoliopsida; Brassicales; Brassicaceae.
AAAUAAAUCUAAGAAGAAUAGAAGUCCUAAGGAUGGAUUCAUUGAUAAGGGCAACUCUAGGGUUCAUCAGGUGGCUAACAUGCGAAAGGCAA